This is a long non-coding RNA of Passer domesticus (house sparrow), 17262 nucleotides long. RefSeq lists it as uncharacterized. The transcript is spliced from 2 exons. The record is from RefSeq and is a predicted model, not a curated record. NCBI's taxonomy places the organism in Eukaryota, Metazoa, Chordata, Aves, Passeriformes, Passeridae.
UUCCAGAUUGCCUGAUAAGGAAAGGACUGCUUUAUAUUUGCCCAUUGUGCUCCUGCUGUAUGCAAUUAUUGCUGGUUGAUGUCUGACUGAAAUGCGGGACCAGACUGAUCUCGUGCUAGUGAGCUGUUCCUGUUUUGCUUCAUCUUGUCUUGUAUUGCUGAAUGCAGGCUGCCAUUCUGCAGCUCUGCCUUUUGCACCCAGGAUCCUGUGUCUGCCAGCUGGGUGUCCUUCUGCCUGUCAGCGGAGAUCUGUCAGGGUCUGACCUGUGUUGCUCUACAUACUGCUCACUUAAAUGUCUAAGAAUGGGCUUUUUCACCCUAUGUUUCUUUUUGGAAAACCAGGACCAGCAAAAUCCCUGCCUGGGCUUGUGCACUGUGUUCCUGCUGUACCUCUUGGAACACAGUUGGCAGCUGUCUGGGUUGGCACUGAAAAGUGCCGAUAGCAUCUGUGGAUAAUGAGCCUGAGAAGAGCAGUUAAUGAAGAUCUUGUUUCAGAAACUGUGCUUCUUUCAACCCUAGAAUAGCCAGAGACAUGUAGUACAUGAGCACAGUGUUCAUUGCACAGUGCUAUUUUUGUCCCUCUCCCUUUUAACACCUUUCAACAGCUUGCUGUGUGGAACCCCUACCCCAUCUUGGUCUGGUAGGGCGCAGCAGUGGUCUCCAAAGCAGAGGGAUAUGAACCCUAGGUGGUGCGUGAGACAACCCGCUAGGGCACAGGAAGAAAAUAUGUUUUGUACCAUUAAUAAACAAGAUAAAAUUAUAGUUCUAAAGCAUUUUAAAUAAAAAAUUAAAUUUUUGGUUUCUAUUUUUAUGUAGGUUUUUAAAUCCAUGUACUAUUUAGCUCAAAGGUUUGUUUUUACUCAGAGGGUUGAGCAACCAAAACAAUUUGGAGGCCACAGGCUUUUUAAGAAAUCUCAUAAAGCAGACACCUGCAGACUCUUCUGUUCCACAAAGAUCUAGUCUGGUUUUCCUCUUCAAAUCAUUCAGCCCCACCAGGGCUGUCAUUUUCCUGAUUGUCACCUACACAGGUAUUUCAAGACUUCCUGCCAUAUAAUUUUCAGUCCUGCCUGGAGUCUGUAUAAAUGGUGGUGUAAUCACCAGUUUGGCUGGGAUAAUUUGCUGCAUGUCACCAGCAGAGCAGGAAGUCAAACCAACCAAUCUGUCAAACUUAUGAGGGCCUGCAAAAGCCUGGGUGGAGACAUGUAAUAAUUCUGCACAGAAAGAGUAACUAAAUUUCAAGUACCAAUUUGCCAGCUGGAGAUUUGCUGGGAAAUCAAAAUCUUUGUUAGAAAAUUAUACUGACAGCUAGUGGUAAACCAAUACAGUGCUAGAGCAGACCGGGUGUGCUGUUUGUCCUCAGCCACAGGCUUGGGAAGGAUUCAUUCUCUCCUUCUCAUUUUGUGCAAUGCAGAUCACCUUUCUUUUACGUGCUGCUUGUGGCUGCCUUAAGGCCUUUGUGACAGUGGCUGUAGCUUGCUGAGAGGCCAGUGAGAUUGAUCUCACCUCCUUAGGUGGACAGUGAUCUUGGGUGGAAGGUUUAGACCCUACAGCAGUUCUCCCCUGGUGAGUGCAGCUCAGUGUAGCCACUGACACUUAACAAGGUUGGGCUUGUACAGAAGGAGGUCAGUAACUAAAUUCAGAAUGACCUACUUAGACUAUGUGUAUUGAGUUAGUAGCUACUGAUGAAAUUCAGUGUAAGAGCUACCAGGCAGUAAGAAAAGAAAAUUAUGGUGACCUGUGUACGGUCACCUUCAUCUGUACUCUUUCAGAGCAAGGAAGUUAAUGGGUAAAGGUUUGGAAACUGAUGUAUCUGAACCAUGUAUGUUAAAUUUGAAGUUGAUAAAUGCACGGAUUAUGCCUGCCUUUAAAAAUCUGACUGUAAAAGUACAGGAGAAAAUUAUCCUCUACUGGUAACAAUAAAAAAGUUCUCCCCUGCCCCCCAUUUCAAAGUGUUUGCCAACUCAUGUACCACAGGGAAUCAUGAAGGAGGAAUCUGUGAGGAAAUAGAGGGGGGUUAAUGUGCUCUCCUUAGUAAUGUGUGUGUGGGUUUUUCUGAGUAUCAUUUGGCAUUUUAUGCAUUUUAACAUGAUGGCAGUCACACUGUGACAUAAGCACAUCUCCUUGAAAGGCAAUGCAAAAUUUGGGUUUUGUUCUCAGAAGUUUCUUCUCCAACCUUUGAGAACAGAAACUUAGAUGUGGGUGUUUUUUGUGGUUGGCAAGGGCUGAUAUGAAGAGAGGAACUGUGGCCCAAGUAGUAUACCAUGUCUUAAUCCCCUAAGAGCUUUGCAGUUGAAGACUUUGAUUGAUUUUGUGAAGUGGAUUAAUAGCUGGUAAGACCCUGCAGAACAGAGGUGAUUUAAAGUGAUGGGAGCAUCUCCACAUGUGAACCCUGAAUGAUGCAGAGUCCUGCUAGAAGGUUAGUUGCUGUAAAAAAUAUGAAAGUAUGAAAACUGAAAAAUAACAGGGUGUGUGAAAAAUAAUAAGGUGUGUGAAUAUGGAAGGGUUUUAUGUAGCAAGUAACAAUGUGAUCAAUGCAUUGACACUGGUUGAUUUGAAGAGGAAAGAAACUCUACUACUGUGUGUUUCUAAGCUGUUGAAACCAACAGCUUCUGGUAUGGAUAGAGCCUGGUUCUCACCCUGCACAUGUUCUUGGACCAGCAGUUUAUGCACUUCAGACUACUUCAAAGUCUGAGGCCUGCUAUAAAUAGGACAUCCCAAACAAAAACCAAUAGCCUCAUCAAAUUAUUUAAACUAUCAUUAGCAGGCAGAAAAUUAUUUGUAAUCAAAGAUUUGUGCUCUCCCUAGUCUAUUCCCAGCCUCUUGGUUCUUAUCUAUAACAUCUAAGUUAACUAGAAAGAUCUCUCAAAGUGAAGCUGGCUGUCUCUGCACUGUGUGCCUUUGCUACUCUUGAAAAAAUAUUCUUUCCUGAGGAAAUAACCAGCCAUUCUUUUUAUGUAGCCAGCAUUUGAUAGGGCUGUCUUUGAAGGGAGGUCGCUGUGGGGAACUUUGGUCAUUCCUUCCUAAUCUCAGACAUAACCAUCUCCCAAGGGGAGGGGCACUGGAGCAGCAGGCAGGCAGAACACAGCAGCUGUUCUUGGUGAUCCAUGCUGCAUGACCUCUUUGUUGGUCUGGGGGUAAAACUGCUGAACUCAACCCUUUUUUUCUCAUUUUUCAUCAAGUCUGUGGUGAAGCCAGUAAAUGCCAGAUGAGUCACUGUGGCCAUGGAUUUGCCAUGAACCAAAAGCCACUCCUUGCCCCUACACUAGUGCCAGGCAGUGCAAUGUGUAUAAGGUGCAUCACAGGAUGUGUGGACACAGCUUUGCCCUGAACUGAGACCAGUGCUGCACCUUAUGCCAGUCUUCUGAAUUGAAAUUCUAGAGGAGCUCAAACAGAAAUACAUAUUUAGGGCCAUAUAUAUAAUACUGAGCACAGAACUAUUCAAGGCAUUUAUUUUAAUCUUUGCAACUUGAGUGUAAUAUCUUCUUAAAUCAAAAGCAGUGUGCCCAGCAGGUUGAGUGAGGGCCCACCUGGAGCUCUGCAUCCAGUUCUGAGGUCUCCAUCACAAGAAAUACAUGGAUUUGUUGGAGCAAGAUGGGAGGAGGACCAUGAAAGGAUGGAGCACCUCUCUUUGGAAGACAAGCUGAGAGUUGGGAAUUGUUCAGCCUGAAGAGGAGAAGGCUCCAGGGAGACAUGAUUCCAUCAGUACUUAAAGUGGACCUACAAGAGAGCUGGAGAAGGUCUUUUUAUCACAGCAUGUAGUGACAGGACAAGGGAUGAUGGCUUUAAACUGAAAGAGGAAAUAUUUAGAGUGGAUACUAGAAUUCUUUGCUGCUAGUGUGAUGGAGCAGGUUGUCCGGAGGUGCUAUAGAUGGCCCAUCACUGGAAGUGUCCAAGGCCAGGUUGGAGGGAGAUAUGAGCAGUCUUGUCUAGUAAAAGGUGUCCCUGCCCAUGGCAGGAGGGCUGCAACUAAGUGAGAUCUAAGGUUCUUGCAACCCAAACCAUUCUGUGAUUCUGUGUUUCUCCCUUCUGUCCCUAUGACGCACACUCUUCUCCAUGACUAGAUUGCAUUUUAAAGGAGGUGAUUUAAAUGCAUCUUUCCAUAUGCUGAAUAACAAGUGAAUGGUGGUAUCUAUCCCAGAGUAAACCUUAGUAGGUUUGGGGGCUUUUUUGGUUUGUGUUAAUAUCUUUUUCCUAAAGCCGCAGGUCUGAAGAAAAUAAUUCACACAGCAGUUAAAUGCAGCUAUUAUGGAUUUAUUUCCAACAGGGAAUGUAAGAGGAGACUGAAAGCUGAAAAAACUUCCCAGGAGCACAAAAUCUUGAUAAUUUAUUGACAGAGAAAUUUCGAAGAACAUCCAGAAGCUUCUGGUUUAUAUUUCUUCUUCCCUAAAUAUUUCCCCAAAAAAUUGGAGGAUUUUAAUUAAGUUGGAAUCUUGACUGUAUUUAUCACCAGUCUUUUAUGGAACCUGUCGUCCUAGGGCCUAGGGCAAAUGAUUUAAGUCACAAAACACUCCCAAGAGAUUCACUUUCAUGUUACUACUAGGCAAAGAAACAGAGAAAACAGAAAUAGUCCACUGACAAGACAACACAGGAAACCUGUAGCAGAAGGAGAAAGGAGGCUUGGGGUCUUAGGCAGUAUGCUGUAAACCAUGCUUGACCAAAACAUAAUAUUUCUGCUUUUUAUUACUUCAAAGCCCUUUUACAGGAAAAGAUUAUUUAUAAUAUAGGAACUAAUGACUAAAGUAUGCGUGUACAUUUCCAAGGGCAAAAAUAAUUCUCUAACCUUCUGCAAAUGUGGUGCUUUUGUGAGGCAAGGUCACUGCACAGUUUCUUCUGCUGUGCUUAAAAAUAUCUCACAGUUAUCAAGUAAACAUAUUGCCAGGUCCCAGAAUGAGCCUCUUGAGUGUUCUUGACAUCACAAAUAAAGUUGCCUCUAAACAAAAAAACAAGUAAGUAAUGUCAUGUUGACCCUUCUGAAUAUUAAAAUCUUGCAUUUUCCCCAUCUCUCUCAUUGAAAUUACCAUAAUUUUAUUUCAGCAGUUUUCAGAGAGAUGUCCUCUGUGUAAGAUCUAUUCCAACAAGGCCCCUAGUGAAGCUACCUCUAUGAGAAACCACAAAUCGCCCUAGCCUUCUUAUGAGCCCCCACAAUGCUGUCUGUGCCACCCUUCUCAGCCCACUGAACUAAUUGCUUACCUUUGUGACUAGCAUUUUUCUUCCCUAGAGUUACAUCAUGCAGAAAAACACCCGCACUUCAAGUGGCAUGACUGUACUAUUCCUUUGCAAACAGUACAUCUAUGUUUAAUUUCAGAGUGAAAUUUAAUGUUAGUGCUUAAAGCAGGCUAGUUCUUAUCCAAAGUGAAACUUUCUCAAAGUGGAAGGUCAACAGCUUUAUCAGAGCCAUCUCCAAAAUGCUUUUCCUAAUGAAAAGGGAGACAUUUUCCUACCUAAAAGUCAAUUGCACUUUGGAUAAAAAGCAAUAUUUCAUGUCACCUGCCUGUCCACGAGAUAUUAAUAAUCUGUGUAGCAUGCAAAAUACUCCUGAGCAUAGAAUUGCAUGUUAUUGAGCCUCAUUUCAUAACUAGCAUGAUUAUACUUGUAGGGAGGGGGUAAAGUACAGUUAAUACACACACAUGCAAGAGCUAUUCCAGCAGGUACUGCUGGGACUUGCUAUGUUAUGUUUUGAUUAAUUUAACUCUUCCCUAUCCACUGUUCCUCUCUCAGAGAUGGCUGAAACUCAAAAGAGAAUCUCUUUAAACUAACCAGAGGUAAAAAGCCAGGUUGAGAAGGUCAUUCCUUCAAAGUGCCAUAUUUUUGUGUAUUUGUUGUGGUGCCACAGGCACUAGCAAGAGCGCUCCCAAGGGAUAUUGCCCCUGGGAUACAGCCGGAGCAGUGGUGUGUUGCUGUGACAGUAUUGUCACCCUCAGAGCACUGGUACAGGUGGCAGUGUUCUGUCCUGCAGAGGAGAGUCUGGGCCUUCUGUGAGGAUCAAAGCUUCCUCCAGCCAUAGUCAGUGAUGUCGCCACACCAUCCUGUGCCUAAGAAAGCCAUGUAAAAGUCUUCUUGUCCCUUUUAAACUCUAACUUCUAAAGCAAGGGAUGCAAGUCUGGAAGUGUCUUGUUUCCUCCCAGCUCUCCCACUAGGGACUAGUCAGGGACAUUUCUAUACCUGUUGUUGCUUUAUAGUUGAUUUUUCCUCUGGUUCCUCAUCACCUGAAGCCAGUCUAUGUUAUAUGUGUUCCAGCAGUUUUUGCUGGGAGAGGAGACUGACUGUGUCCUCUGUUUUGCCACCCUCUGUUUUGCUGUCCAGGGGACAGAUGAGGUGUUGAAUCCAUAUGGUGGCUUUGAUCUAUGUCAUUCACGGGAUACAGAGUCCUGGGUGCAUGUAGUCUCUCUUUUCUGAUCAUGGUCUGAACAAAGCACUCAUCUCAGCUGUAUGGAAUGGGAAAUCUGAGCUGUGGUACACUCAUACUGAGGGUAUGUGGGUAUAGCAGAGAACAUAUCUAGACAGACAGAUAUGCAUGCACACGUACAUGGCAGCAUUUCAUCUGUGUGGAAGGAAAAAAACCCUUUAGCAUUAGGAAAGUCACUGAACAUGCAAAAGGUGAAUUUACCUUUGUGUGUAACAUCACUUGUGCUAGGAGCUGCAGCUCAGAAAGGUUGGUUGUGCUGCUGGAAGCUGCCACAAAGAGUGACUUACCACAAGAAAGAUACUUUAUUUUUUACAAAGGGGCUUGUAAGCAAGGAGACAAAAAAAAGGUUAUAAAGUUUAGAAAGGAGCAGGUUUCACUCUAUCGUUUAACAUAAUAGCAUGGCAAGAGAUUCUUCCUGGCAAGCCGUGGUAAAGGACUUCAAUUAAAAAAAAAACUCAGGCCAUGAUUUAAAUGUAACAUUUUUUGUUCAUAAAUUAAUCCCAAAUGACAAAACUAUGCAUGCGUUAGAGAGGAAAAAAGAAAUAGAAUAAUAGGUGGAUGGAGGAAAGAGACUGGUAUCAAACAUGUUUUUUUCUUAUUCUUUUUAAUUGUCCAAACCAGUGUCAAAAACCUAAAUAAUCAAAACUGAGAAGAAUCUCAGUAAUAGGGUCCAGAACUGAAUAAGCAUAACUUGCACUGUGAUUGUCCCAGGAUUAUUUAAAAUAACUCGAGGAACAGAUGUUAAGGAGCACCAGUGAGGAGCAUGAAUGUUAAAUGGCUCUGUCUCCUGUGCUGGAUGUGGCAGUGCCAGGCCACAACUUCCACCUCCACACCACUGCUUGAGUCCUGCUGCAAUUAACACUAAUCACUGCUUUGUCCCUUUCAAAGUAUAGCUGGGGACAUAUGUGAAGUCACUUAGUUCCUAGUGAGGGGUAGUUUAAUGACUGGUCAAUUUAAGCCCCAGUGGAGCACUUGCUUUUCCUGUCACAUGCUGUCACCAGCAUGGUGACUUCGGCAGAAAGGCUGCUCACUGAGCAGGGGAGAGCUCACUUGGGCUCUGAGCACCUCUCCACCACCCCUAGUCAGCGCAGAGCUAGAAGGAGCAGAGGUUGCCCCUGCUGUGUUAUUGUUCCUGUCUGCCCUUCCUGUAAUGGAGUAGGACCUCACAGUCCCCUCCAUCGAUCUGUUGGCAUCACUCCUCACAGCCACUUGUCACCUCUCCCGCAGUGCCUGGCUGGGCAGCACAGCUCAUCCUGAUAUGGAGGUGGCAGGGCAGCAGCAGCCAGUCCUGUGGGGCUGGCAUGCAGAGGAACCCGCUGGUGGUGGGUGAGGAGACAAAGCUGUCUCUGUUCCCUGCCCCGGGAGCCUGCCGUGCUCUGUGCAGAGCUGUUGCUGAUGGCUGGGUGCCAGAGAGUGACUGUGACACUGGGGAAGGGACAAUGGGUCCAAGGGCAGCAUGGAGUACCAGGCUUGCAGAGCUGGCUUUGAGGAGCAUCUCUUCUCUCACUUAAGCUGACUGGGUCUAAAAACACACUGGAGCAGAAACAAAUGCAGACCCAGCACUUUGUUCACACCCACAUUAUCAAGAAAGUGUUCAUCCAGAGGGACCUUGACAGGCUUGAGGAGCAGCCCCUUGUGUCAAUACAGGCUAGGGGAUGAAGGGUUUGAGAGCAGAGAAGGAUUUGUGGGUACCGGUGCAUAUAAAGCUGAGCAUGUCUCAGAAAUGUGCACUGACAGCCCAAAAGACCAGCCAUAUCCUGAACUUCAUCAAAAGCAAUGUGAGAAGCAGGUGGAGGGAAGUAGUUUUGCCCCUCUGCUCCUCUCUGGUGAGACCCCACCUGGAGUGCUGUGUCCAGUCCUGGGGUCCCCAGCACAGAAAGGAUGUGGUCCUUCGACAGUGAGUUCAGAGGAGGGACACAAAGAUGAUCUGGGGACUGGAACACCUCUCCUAAGAGGAAAGGCUGACAGAGUUGGGGUUUUUCUGUGUAGAGAAGAAAAGAGAAGGCUCUGGGGACACAUUACAGCACUUUCCCGUACAUAAAGGAGGCCUUUUUCUUAUGAAAGCUGGAGAUGUGUGUUUCACAAGGGCAUGAAGUGAUAGAACAAGGGGACCUGGCUUUUAACUGAAAGAGGGUAGAUUUGGAUUAGCUAUUAGAAAGCAAUUAUUACUGUGAGGGUGGUGAGGGGAACAGGUUUCCCAGAGAAGCUGUGGAUGCCCUAUCCCUGGAAGUGUUCCAGACCACGUGGGACAGGGCUUGGAGCAACCUGGUCUAGUGGGAGGCGUCCCUGACCAUGACAGGUGAGUUGCAGCUAGAUGAUCUUUAUGGUCCCUUCCUACCCAAACCAUUCUGUUAUUCAGGUUGAAGAUUUAAGAGCUAAUUUUUUCUGGGUGCUAUUCAAUUCAUGAUUUUGAAGUGCAUAGAUGGACUUGUUUCUACCACUGGUGCCUACACAGCAGCUUCCUUUUGCUGAUGCAUGUAGCACCCUGAUGUGGACACUACAGCCAUAUCACACAAAUCAUCCCAUCAGCUUGCACUGGAUUUGUGUCUGGUCAAAGCUCACUUUUCCAUGGCUGGCAGUGACUGUGCCAAUCUCAUGAGCAAACUGACAGGCUGGGGAAGUUUGGCCUGAUACAGCCUGUGAAAAUACCCAGCCAGCAGUGGACCUCUGCCUGAGCUGCUGAUAUCCCUUUUCUUUAGCUCUCCUUAGUCAAUUUAAAGCAUUAGAAACAAAUUUAUAAAUUGCAAAAGUGUCUCAUAAGAUACUCAGUUACUAUGCUGAAAUAGUAAGAGCAGGCUGUAAUAGCUAUUUGAUCAAGCAGUGGAAGCAUCCAUAUCAGUGGUUUGGCCAUUAAGAGCUCAGCUGAAUUUCUGGUCGGGUGCAGGACAGUGUGUUCUUCUUCCUGGGAUAGUGGCUGAUUGCUGCAGAUGAUUCCAGCUUUCCCAGAUUGCUAAGCUGCUGUUGUAGACCACAUGAUGCUACAACGCUUCUCACGACCUGUGAUAGCAGAGGUGAAGUUCUGCAUGGAAUGCAGCAAUGACACAGCAAUGACACAGCUGGUGCUUGGUGGGGAGUCUGAGUGCCUGGGGCUCAUGUGGGUGCGUGUCAGGGGCCUGAGAUGCCCCUCGCACUGGGCAGGUAGUGCUGGCAUGUGGAUGGAGGGCAGCUAAUGCUGCACUUGUUUACUGCAUGCAUGCUGCUAUUUCCAACGCUGUGACUCCAUCUGUGUUCCUUAGGGAGAUUAAGGCUGCCCUUAUUUCUGUGAAUCCUCAGCUGAGAUCAUCCACAGCUUUAGUAUCUGUGCUUUAGUAGGGCUGAAUCCAUCUUGCAAACAGGUUUAUAAUCAGUGCUGCCAUGAUGAUGAUGGUGAUGAUCUAUGGCAAGGGCACCCGAGGAUAUGCUGGGCACUAACAUUGACAAAGCCAUGUUUCUUCCCCAACCCCUUUGUAGAGCAGAAGAAUGCACUAGACAGUUGUUUCCUCUCCAGGCACUCAUCAAUGGGACCUCUGCCUAUCCAUCCCAGAGGAGAAAUUUCAGGAGGAUUCACACAGUGAUAAUAGCUGUGCUCUCUGCCAGCAGCCCUGGCUUGGUUGGCACUUCCAGCCAAGGUUCCUCUGUGUGGUGGGAUUGAACACCCAUGCAAAAGGCUUGGUGGCCUCCUUGGUGGUGCUGUCACAGGGGUGACACAUGACAUGGAAGCAGAUCGUGCUAAUCCAGCUGGAAAGUCAAAUAUAGAUAGAAAAACUUCUAUUUACUUUUGUAAGCAGAGAGGAUGGCCUUCAGGAGGCUUCAGUGAAUGGGGCUGCAAUACCUGAGAUCAUGUGUGAAGAGCUGUUCAGUGUGUGAUGGUCAUGUCAGCCCAUGGAACCACCUGGAUCUGGCUGUUGGUGCUUCUCAUUGUGCUCAGCGCAUAGCAUCUGCCUGGGGUACCAGGCACAUGUGGAAAGGGAUCCUGUGGAAAGUACUGCAGGUGUUCCUUUGUUAACACUCACAAUAAAGGCAGCAUGUGUCUCUGCUCUUUUCCACUAGCCCUUUAAUAGGGCAUUUUCCUUGCACUUCAAAACCAUAAUAUACAAUACUCUGAUAGUAUUGUCCCCUAUACUUUCAAAUAAAUGUGUUUAUAGAAUAUGAAAUGUUUAGUCUACACAUUCUUUUCUCAUUGUACUCCACUUCUUUUUCCUCUUGUAGAAACCUUUCAAAACAUGUAUUUAGGUCUAUCAUUAGCUGUUGAGUAUUCGAGGGUAAAAGCAGGUACUGUGUCAGCUUGACCCAGGAUGAUGACUCUUCUGCUGCUGAGUUGUGCAUUAUGGUGGAAGGACAGGCUGAAAGUGAAUUAAAACACAUCUGUGUUUUUUGUUUUUUCAUUAAGUGAGAUUUUUUUGUCGUUCUAGAACCAAAAAUUUAAGACUUUAAAUUUUUACUUGAAAUGUCAUUUUUGGCAAACAGUUUUAGUACUACACUUUGGCAGACCUCCUGUGCCUUUUGCAAAAGAGCAAAACUAGCAUAAUCCUGUGUGUUUGGAGAAGUACACUUGCUAACCCAGAUUGCUUUUGACCUAGAUGGCAAGCUCCUGCCUGCCUGUCUGGCUUGGUUUUUAACAAGUCAGCUCCCACAGUUUGGGCAGCUGCCGUAACCCCCUUUCUCCAGAAAGACAUUAGGAACUUAGGUGAAAUCUAGGUCAGCCAAAUCAGGGGGAGAAAAAAAUCAAAACUUGUGUCUGAAUAAAAAUGUAGAAACACUGCAUUUGAAAAGGAAAUUUCUCUGUUUAAGAAGUCUCUGUUGUGACAGUUCUGUUAAAGCAGGACUGGCAUUAUUUCCCAAAUUUUCAAGUUGUUCAAAUUUAUUUAUCUGUUCAUUGAUAUUUUACUAAGCAGUUUGCCAAAUGUUAUGCCAUCCAAGGCCGGUAAGUGUUGCUUGUGUCUAUACAACUUUAUUUUCCCAUUUCCAGUGGAUCACAUUUUGAGAUAUCAAGAAGAGAAGUUGUUUGUGGAGAGUCACAAAGGUACUUUCUUUGAUUACUUCUGGGAUUUUUUUUUAAUUGCCCUACACAGAUUACACUUGAAAAUAUGGGAAAAUAAUGGAAAAAAUAAUUAUCCAUUAGUAUUUUAUUUAGUUUUCCUAGUAUUAAAAAGUAGUCCCAUCAGAUCUUCACAUAGGCCAUGUUUGGUUUUUGCCCUGAGUGUUGUUCUGUAAAUAAUAAUGCUACUCUUAUAAAACCAGAGGACAAGUCUUCUGUCCAUCGAGUAUGUUUCAGUGAUGCUAAAACAGAAAACAAUGAAGAUUUCAAUGGACUCACUGAUUCAGCAUCUUAACAUAAUUUAACCAACAGGAUAUGACAAGAAGAUGCAGCUGACUUCUUUCAGUGUGUAACAUCUUUAGGCUUGCAGCUGAUUUGUGUAAACAGUUAUUUAUUCAACAAUCUCUUAUACACAGGAGACUUCCUGUGAACUACGUAAUUUGAGGCAGAAAAAACACAGUGAGCAAAAAUAUUACUGGAAGAGCCUAGAGCAUGAAAGGAAAACAAUAGGUGCUUUUCUCAUCUCUGAUCACCAGCAGCAACAUGUGUUGAGAGUAUUCAUCACAGAAGUUUGGUCCCAAGGCUAUAGCUGCAAAUUCAGUUGCUUCCCCCCUGCUGCCUUCAAGCUUAGUGCCUCCCAACCACUAAUUCAGCAUGAAGUAUACACAGAAACUGACAGGUGAUUGGGAAAAGCAGCUAUGACAAAUGACUGCACAUUCCUGAGCAGUGGAGAAAGAGCUUGAAAGCAAUGGAGGGAGGAAAAGGGGAAGAGGAAACAAGAAAGUACCAGAAAAAGAAAACAGUCUGAGGAGUCAAUAGCAAAGAUUGACAAGACUGGGAGUAUGGCACUCCCAUAAGGGGCAAAGUCGCUAGUUACAGAAAAAUGAGGUGCGUUGUCUCCUCCUCUCUGGAGGAGACCUUUUAUUUUUCCUUUAAGUGCAUACAUUCAUUUGAUAUCUGGGAAUAAAAAUGUUUCUGUCUUUUUAUGACACAAAUCCUGUAAUUUUUGUAAAGGGAAUAAAUCAGAAUAUAUGUAUUAAUAAUUGGUGGCAUCAUCACUACAUUUCCUGCAAAAUGAGCUUUAGAUUUUGCAGUACCACAAUCACGUUCACAAAAAUUAUCUCUAAUCUAGAGUACAGCUACCAGAUGGGAAACAAAAAGCUCACAAAUAAACCCACCAAAUGAAAGGGUGCAGGAGGCAAUCUCCACCUCUUCACUGGAAUGUCCCUGUAAAAAGGGCUGGUACUGGGGGUGCAUCUCCACACCUCCCACCCCACCACAGCAUCAUGAGCAGGUACAUUCCCAAGGGGUACAGCAAGCCUUGUAGAUACAGUGCCCUGUAGAUACAGUGUCUUGUAGAAAGACAGCAAGAUAACUUUAAAAAAUGCAUUAGUGAGAAUGGCUACAGGUUUAACAUUGGUCUGUAAUUUGUCAGCUUGUUCAGGGGAUGCUGCCUGUCUUCACUCUGACACCUUACAGCACCAAGCAGCACACUGCACUCUGGUGAUGCUCAGCUCAGCUCAGUUCAGCUCAGCUCAGCUCAGGCUCUGCUGCAGUGUAACAGCAGCUGAAGUGGUUUUACAGGUUCCUGACCCUGUCUCACACACAGCUGAGGCAAUGACUUUUCUUCAAGGACUUGUGUGCUUGCUUCUAGUGACUCCUCUCUGCCUGCAGUCUGUCCUACAAGUGUGUGCUCUGCAGAAGCCUGUGGUUUCAGCCCAGAUACAAUACCUUUGGGGAAGUGACCCAACUGCUUCUGUUUUGGCUUAUUUGUUUUUUAGUCUUCUACUCCUACCCAUAUCCUGUGUAUUUGCUCCUAGCUUGUUAAGAGGAUCUGUUUCUCCUCACUCCUACACAACUUUAAAGAUUAACUUUUUAUGGGACAUUCCAAAUAAUAAGAAAUCCCCACAAUGUCUGCAUGUGCUGACUUCUAUUUUAGAGUUGUGCUAUCAAAAUCAUCCUAGCUACAUGUCAGCACAGAGUUGUGCAUUUCUUGGGACUUGUAAGUUAGGCUGUGUUUAAAGGGAAGACAUGCUGUGUAUUUUGCCAGUAGCAUAUUAUCCUGGGGGUUUGCCCAUAACAUUUUCUGGUUUUCUCCUAAGGGCCUCUUUCACUACACUGGCAACUGUUCUUUUGAAUAAAACAAGCAUUAAGACACAAAAACUUAAGUUCAUGUCAUAUCCCACUUUGGCUUCUCUUACAUGCCCUAUGGGAAAUCCUUCUGGCAUAAGUGGCUGGCACUGCACCCAGCUUGUAUCAACCUGUAAAAUGAUGACAUUUAAUUGAAUAUAAAAGGUGAGCUGGUAUAGAAAUGUGUGAGUAGACAGAAAGAGGUUCACCAUACAGAUGUUCAUGGAACAAUUACUUACAGUCAGCAAAUGUCUUUAUGUGAACUUCACAGUAACAAAAUAAAAAAUGUUUUGUCAUGCUAAUGCUGUGGCAAGGUCACGUGGAAAGAAUACUAAAGAAGAUACUAGUGCAUUGGUGAGUUUUGAGAACAGCCUGCAGAUUUUCUGUCAGUAUUUGGCCCCUGGCCAUUGUAUUUAUUUUAUUGAUCUAGUUUUGAAAUUAUGAUCUUCUGAUGGCAGUGGUAGAUAAGCAAUUAGCACAGAGCAAGCUACUUAUUCUGCAGUAGUGCUCAGAGGCACAGAGUGUAUCACCAUUUUUUCCAUAGAGUCUCUGUGUUUAAUUGAUAUUCCCUAAAGGUGGCAGGCUCUAGUGCUUGCCUUUUCCUUCUUGAUCACCCUUUCAUUUAAUUCUUUGAUUUUUCCACUGUAAUCCCCCAGAACUGCUAAAGAGGAGGAGGAAGUAUUCUCUGCCCAUAGCUUGCCUGUUUCUGCCAUAGUCUCUUGUGUUUAAUCAAAUGUGUGAUUGAGGUGUGAAACUGUGAUACUCAUAACUUGAUAUUUUCUUAUGUCAGAAGUGUCCUAAGUGAAAAAGAGGUUGGUUUCAUGGAGACUGUCAUUACAUUUUAUGCUUCUUCAGGAAGAACAGUCUGAGUUUCACCUUUCAAACCCUCUCCAUGGCAUAAGAGAUGCUUGUGCAGUUUGCCCUGUGGUGUGGCCCAGGUGUGCAGCCACAUGUGGGCAAGGGAUUGAAGGCAGAUCAACUGCAUUGCAGAAGGUCUGUUAUAAGCAGUGUGUUUCCCUAAUCAGAUUCUGCUUUACCACAGUGUUGGAAACUGUUUUGUGCUCCUCAACAUCUUUUUCACUGUGUCUCAUAGAUGCUGGGGAAGCAAGGACAGUUCCCAUGCUGCAUCAAUGCACAAAACAAGCUCAAUUAGGCAGUCUGCUUCUAGCUACUGCCUCCAAACUCCUGCUUUGGGGCAGGAUAUUUCUGUGCCUUGAAAGGGGCAGCUGUGUCAUGAUGCCCUUGCUCUGCUUCUGACUGGAAGAGCUGGAUUGCCAGCCACAUUUGGAGACAACAGCACAGACAGAGCCUGAUUUGGGCUCAUGAGUCUCUUUUCGGCACCAUAAGGAGUGCAGAGAGCUGCCAAGUUCCCUGUUAGGGAAAAAUCAGUGGAUGAGAGGUAAAAUAAUUUCAGGUCACUGUUCUGUCUCAGAUUCUAACAAAAUGUUCUGCUUUGAUUCACAAUCCAUGCUCUGUUUCUUUGUCUCCCGGUCAAAGACUCAGGCAAGACAGAAUGAUUGCUUUUAUUUUUGUGGAAGCUCUUGUCAGACACCACAUGGCUGUGUCCUAGUUGCCCCAAAUCAUUCUAGUUUCUGGCUGGUUGUGUGAGUUACCUGAUGAGCUUUUCAGCAGUUCUGUACAGGGACCUGCAUUUUGGCUGAAUUGGCCUUGAAAAAAUCCUCACUCUUAUAAAUAUUUUGACCUGCUGCUGGGCUAUAGAAAUCUAUUCUUAGAGCAAAUGAUGCUAUGGCAACUGUCCCUGCAAUAUGACACAGUAGCAAGAAUUCUGUCUUCCUUUAAUCUGUAGCUCCCAAAAUACCUUCUGCACAUCCCAAGCCACCUGGCUUUCCCCACCCUCUUCAGAUCCAGGGAAGCAGCUCCUUCCCAAUUUAUUUUUCUAGUUCAGUCUGAGGCAAAACUGUCUUAAGCCAAUUUAAGUAGAUCUGAAAUAACAUACUCAGUCCCAGCUGUCAUAACCUAUAUUGCAGGAUAUUCCCCUUACUUUUCUAUGACACUUUCCCAGUUACUCUUAUGAUCUGGUUCCCCUCAGGACUUCCUAAAUAAUCCUGUGACAUGGGCUCUAUCAUACCCUAUUUUCCUCUUUGUAUCUCCCAUAAAAGGUGAGUUGUCAACUUGAAAAAAUCUGUUUGCACUUUUUCUUUCAAUCAAUAUAACAUGUUAUUUAUUAAUUUAUUUUCAUUUAUUACAUGUUAUUUAUUCUAUUUUACAUACAGCCUUUUCUGUCAAGACUUACCUCUGUUUUAUUUAUUGAUAUAUGUCAAUUAAAACAACUAGAUUUUUUGGAGCCCAUAAAUAUCAAGAGCUUGCUUCAGUUAGAAUGUACCUAUGCCCAUCCAAAGAGAUGGGCUCAUCCUUAAAGAGUUGAAAACCUGGUGUUAUGAACAUGCUCAGAACUAACCAUUACACAUUCAGGACUGUUAGCAACAGACUUAAAGAAAAAUCUGAAAUUGUUCACCUCUCCUGAUCCACGCUUGUUACCUCCUAAUUUCCCAAGUACACUGUGGGCUUGUACAUGGCAUCCUGCUAGUAACUGGGAGCUGCAAGUGCUGUUUGCUUGAGUACUGAGCCACCUACAAAUUUCACAGCAUUUGGUGAAUAACUGAAGGAUUUGUGUGUUCAGUACAUCCCAUAUGCCGUGACUGUCUUCAAGUGGCAAUACAGUGACAGCAACAAUGAAAAGUUCUGCAGAUAACAGAUAAAUUCACCUCUGGUGUAACCGCACUGACCAAUGACCUGCAGGAGGAAAAGUAGCACACAAGGCUGUGGAAUGUAAUGGGGUUGCCACUCGUGUGUGUGUAUGUGUGUGUGUGUGCCACCGAUUGUGCUGAGACGUGGCUGAUAGUAUCAUUUACAGCUCUUCAGUGGAGUCCCAUGGGCAUUAGAAAAGUAAAUUGUCGUGCUAAAAUGUGGGCAUGAACAAAAAUACUUGCCCUGAUUUCUCUGUAAUUAUAAUAACAAUUUCUAGCAUAAAUUAUAUUAACCUUCUUCCUCUCAUUAAAAGUGUUUUAACCCUUAAGAAGGAACAGGGUAACAGACUGAGCAUAACGUACCGUGUUUUAAGUUGAUCACUGUGCCUCAAAUUCCUUCUUAAAUUAUUUUACUGAAAGCCCUUUAGGGGCACUAUCCUUUUAUGCAAUGCAAUGUACUGGUACUUUUGUAUCGAGUUUUCCUUACUGGAAUGUAAAUCCUCUAAAAUACAUGCCGUUCACAUAAUGCCUGUUUCUUCCAGCUCUCCAGUUGUCCUCCUGCACCACGAGAGGAUGGACCACCAAGCAUUAGUGAGACAGGGGAAAGGCCUAUGUGCUAUUUCAGCCUUCCACAACACACAGACCUGGAAUGAGUGCUGCCAAUUUGCAUUCACACUAACCAAGUGCAAACAGAGCAAACUUCCUGAGAGCAGGGAAGGACGCUGAUGUCUGCAAGGACACCAGGCACUGUGUGGCAGCUUCACCUUCCCUGCACAGACUUCCUCACUGAAGAGAAAAGUUUACCCACCUGCUCCACUUCAAUCUGCAAGAACUGAGAUUUCCCAAGCCACUAGUCAACUGCAUCAUGACUGGGAGCAGUGGUGGUUUCAUCUCUUCUUUAGCAUCUAUUUUCUAAAUCCAGUGUUGCUCAGUCUUUCUCACACAAGAUCUCCUGCAAACUUCCUUUUUUUCCCCUUUAAUAAAUCUUGCCAUUCAAAAUCA